RNAcentral lists this transfer RNA (118 nucleotides) under Dishui Lake phycodnavirus 4. Its description in RNAcentral is "tRNA-Tyr". The record is from RNAcentral. Lineage: Varidnaviria; Bamfordvirae; Nucleocytoviricota; Megaviricetes; Algavirales; Phycodnaviridae.
UACUCCAGCCUACCGGAUUCGAACCAGUGACCAUUGGAGGAUUGAUUACACUUUUGAUAGUGUUAUUUAGCAUUCAAUAUGCUACAAUCCAAUGCUCUUCCAUCUGAGCUAAGGCUGG